Molecule: ribosomal RNA, 200 nt
Filed under: uncultured eukaryote
Lineage: Eukaryota
Description: partial 18S ribosomal RNA
Rfam family: Eukaryotic small subunit ribosomal RNA
Source: RNAcentral
GCUCCAAUAGCGUAUAUUAAAGUUGUUGCAGUUAAAAAGCUCGUAGUUGGAUUUCUGGUGGGAGCGAUCGGUCUGGCGCUUAGCGCGAGUACUUGCAUCGUCUCCGGCCAUCCUUGGGGAGAGUCUGUCUGGCAUUAAGUUGUCGGGCAGAGGAUCCUCAUCGUUUACUGUGAAAAAUUAGAGUGUUCAAAGCAGGCUUA